Long non-coding RNA from Notothenia coriiceps (black rockcod), 613 nucleotides. RefSeq lists it as uncharacterized. The record is from RefSeq and is a predicted model, not a curated record. The transcript has 2 exons. Lineage: Eukaryota; Metazoa; Chordata; Actinopteri; Perciformes; Nototheniidae.
AUAUGAUGGAGAAAGUUACGAGUAUUAAGGCUUAUUGUGUUCUGCUGUGCAAAUGGAAACCCAGCAGCUGGUCUUUUCAAGGUUUAGUUUAUGCUGUUAAACUGCAGUGUGUGUUGACAGACGGUAUGGAGGUGGAGGCAGCGGCGAUGGAGGCGGGGCAGUUUGAGGAUGCAGACGUGGAGCACUGAUCUCAUCUCAGCGGACAUUCAAAGCUCCAGUGUUGCAUCAUGGGAUUGGAGAGGCGGACAGCAGCACUUACUCACUCUCUUGUUUAACAGAACUUCUCCUUCCUACUCAGUCAUCUCACUAAUCUUUGUAGCAUCCUUUAUUUCCUCCCAUGCGUUUUGAUGCAUUGCUUAGUAGCUCACGCGUCAUGUGUUGUGUUUGUUCUCCGCAUCACAUUUACUAAUUUGUUCAAGUCGUAUGAGUUUAUCUUUGUUAUACGACCAAGGCAUCUACUGAGAUGCAGACCCAAACGCCCAAAUCAUGCUGUAAAAAAAGAUGAAAAAAAACCCAAUGCUCUGUUUUGUAUAACAAUUUAAUUUCAGAUUUUUUGAAAAAAAAGUUAUUGUCUUUAUACAAAAUUGUGAAUAAAUGCAUAGUUUUUCUAUGA